This 69-nucleotide non-coding RNA is filed under the name Salmonella enterica subsp. enterica serovar Tennessee str. CDC07-0191. RNAcentral describes it as "int-alpA RNA". It matches the Rfam family "int-alpA RNA". Rfam says of the family: Acidobacteria (1 example), Planctomycetes (1 example), Proteobacteria. Lineage: Bacteria; Pseudomonadati; Pseudomonadota; Gammaproteobacteria; Enterobacterales; Enterobacteriaceae. The record is from Rfam by way of RNAcentral.
GCUAUGUCUAGGCUGAUCCCCGAAAACCCGUACACCUCUGCGGGCUGGCAUAGCCGUCAAAAUCAGAGG